RNAcentral lists this ribosomal RNA (490 nucleotides) under uncultured bacterium. RNAcentral describes it as "partial 16S ribosomal RNA". It matches the Rfam family "Bacterial small subunit ribosomal RNA", at positions 30 to 507 of the family's 1533-position model. The record is from RNAcentral.
AUUGAACGCUGGCGGCAGGCCUAACACAUGCAAGUCGAACGGUAACAGGAAGAAGCUUGCUUCUUUGCUGACGAGUGGCGGACGGGUGAGUAAUGUCUGGGAAACUGCCUGAUGGAGGGGGAUAACUACUGGAAACGGUAGCUAAUACCGCAUAACGUCACAAGACCAAAGAGGGGGACCUUCGGGCCUCUUGCCAUCGGAUGUGCCCAGAUGGGAUUAGCUAGUAGGUGGGGUAACGGCUCACCUAGGCGACGAUCCCUAGCUGGUCUGAGAGGAUGACCAGCCACACUGGAACUGAGACACGGUCCAGACUCCUACGGGAGGCAGCAGUGGGGAAUAUUGCACAAUGGGCGCAAGCCUGAUGCAGCCAUGCCGCGUGUAUGAAGAAGGCCUUCGGGUUGUAAAGUACUUUCAGCGGGGAGGAAGGGAGUAAAGUUAAUACCUUUACUCAUUGACGUUACCCGCAGAAGAAGCACCGGCUAACUCCGUG